This 209-nucleotide ribosomal RNA is filed under the name uncultured bacterium. RNAcentral's name for it is "partial 16S ribosomal RNA". It matches the Rfam family "Bacterial small subunit ribosomal RNA", at positions 111 to 334 of the family's 1533-position model. The record is from RNAcentral.
AGACACGUGGGUAAUCUACCUCUUAGUGAGGAAUAACCCUGGGAAACCGGGGCUAAUACCGCAUAAGCCUGAGAAGGGAAAGCAGAAAUGCGCUGAGAGAGGAGCCCGCGGCCGAUUAGCUAGUUGGUGAGGUAAGAGCCCACCAAGGCAGAGAUCGGUAGCCGGCCUGAGAGGGCACACGGCCACACUGGCACUGAAACACGGGCCAG